AACGUAGGAGGCGAGCGUUAUCCGGAUUUACUGGGUGUAAAGCGCGUGCAGGCGGUUGGCUAAGUUGGGUGUGAAAGCUCCUGGCUCAACUGGGAGAGGUCGCUCAAGACUGGCCGACUGGAGAGCAGUAAGGGAAGGUGGAAUUCCGGGUGUAGUGGUGAAAUGCGUAGAUAUCCGGGGGAACACCAGUGGCGAAGGCGGCCUUCUGGACUGCUUCUGACGCUCAGACGCGAAAGCUAGGGGAGCAAACGGG
Molecule: ribosomal RNA, 253 nt
Filed under: uncultured bacterium
Lineage: Bacteria
Description: partial 16S ribosomal RNA
Rfam family: Bacterial small subunit ribosomal RNA
Source: RNAcentral